Molecule: ribosomal RNA, 344 nt
Filed under: uncultured Fusobacteriota bacterium
Lineage: Bacteria; Fusobacteriati; Fusobacteriota
Description: bacterial SSU rRNA
Rfam family: Bacterial small subunit ribosomal RNA
Source: RNAcentral
GACGAACGCUGGCGGCGUGCCUAACACAUGCAAGUCGAGCGAAGUGACUUGGAGUAAAGUCUUCGGAUAGAGCGAAGAGUCAUCUUAGCGGCGGACGGGUGAGUAACGCGUGAGAAACCUGCCUUUCACAAAGGGAUAGCCUCGGGAAACUGGGAUUAAUACCUUAUGACACUUCAUUGUCGCAUGACUAAGAAGUUAAAGCGUAAAGCGGUGAAAGAUGGUCUCGCGUCCUAUUAGCUAGUUGGUGAGGUAACGGCUCACCAAGGCUUCGAUAGGUAGCCGGCCUGAGAGGGUGAACGGCCACACUGGAACUGAGACACGGUCCAGACUCCUACGGGAGGCAG